GAUGAAGAACGUAGCGAAAUGCGAUAAGUAAUGUGAAUUGCAGAAUUCAGUGAAUCAUCGAAUCUUUGAACGCACCUUGCGCCCUUUGGCCAUUCCGAAGGGCAUGCCUGUUUGAGUAUCAUGAACACCUCAACUCUCAUGGCUCGCCAUGAUGAGCUUGGAUUAGGGGGUCUUGCUGGCCUGUGGUCGGCUCCUCUCAAAUGGAUCAGCUUGCCAGUGUUUGGUGGCAUCACAGGUGUGAUAACUAUCUGCGCUUGUGGUUUUCCAUCAGAUAACCUUCAGUGAUGGAGGUUCGCUGGAGCUCAUAAACGUCUCCCCUAAGCGGGGACAGCCCUUUGAAUGUUUGAUCUCAAAUCAGGUAGGACUACCCGCUGAACUUAAGCAUAUCAAUAAGCGGAGGA
Molecule: unclassified non-coding RNA, 401 nt
Filed under: soil metagenome
Description: partial contains 5.8S ribosomal RNA, internal transcribed spacer 2, and large subunit ribosomal RNA
Rfam family: 5.8S ribosomal RNA (bases 1-121)
Source: RNAcentral